Molecule: long non-coding RNA, 1438 nt
Organism: Dunckerocampus dactyliophorus (ringed pipefish)
Lineage: Eukaryota; Metazoa; Chordata; Actinopteri; Syngnathiformes; Syngnathidae
Exons: 3
Source: RefSeq, a predicted model, not a curated record
ACUGCUUUUCGUCUAUCUCCGGAGUCAUGUAGUGUGUAAAGCUAAUGAGGCUGCCACGGCUCAUCAAAAGUAUAUACGAAUGUGAACUGUCUCACGGGGGAAGUCCAGACUUUGCAGUCUCAGGCCACCUCUUCUAGUUCCAUCAGGCAAACACCAAGGCCUUCCCCGGCCAGCUGUGAGAUAUGAUCCCUCCAGCGUGUCUCAGGUCUGUCCUGUGGCCUGCUCCCAGCUGGGCAUGCCCGGAACACCUGACCAGAGAGGUGUCCAGGAGACAUCCGGACUAGAUGCCCGAGCCACCGCAACUGGCUCUUCUCAAUGUGAAGGAGCAGUUCCUACCGGAUGACCGAGAUCCGCACCCUAUCUCAUAGAGUUCGUUGCACCUCAGAACCGCUACUUUAGCACCGCACUCAGCCUUCCUGGUGAAAGGGCGACACGGACCGGCCCGUGUGUGAUCCACCAAGUCCUUGCUGCUUGCAAUGUUGCUCAUACUUUGGGCAGAAGCUGCUUCCGGUUUCUUGGGAGACGUGGUUUGAAUUGUCUUGUACAAUUUGCACGAUGCCACCAAAGGCUCUCCUAAGUCCACUUGUUGGCUCUCUGUAAGGCGCAUCCUACUGUCCAUGUGAGUAUAAUGUAGAUCCACCUUCAUGACUAGUGAUUCCUAACAAAGAGCAAACAAAACACUCAUAUAAUCUCAUUUUACUGUAGUUAUUCUACUGGUAAAAAGGUUUGGAACACCCUGAAUCAAGCGUCUAGUCAUGGCCCAAAACAUAAAUCCAAGCUAUGCAAGAAUUGCAAUAGAAAAAAAGGCUACACAAGGUACAUAUUUAUUGGAACGUCUGCAACAGCUAAAAGAAACUUUCAGUAGAACAUUUGAAUUCCAUUGUAGAAAGAAUAGCACGAGUGCAUUGUGCCAAACUACAUGAGUCAAAAGUUUGGCAUUAAAGGGACUGGAGACAACUUGCUCCAAAUUACAUUUCAGGAAACCAAAAAGAAGAACACCACCAUCGUCUAGCGUAUGUUACAAACAGUGGUUUAAAAGAACAGAUUGUACAAAAAAAUGUCUAUAUUUUUCACAAUUACAAAUUAAACAGUAUAAAAAUUGUCAUAAAUUUUCGUUGGGCUCAAAUCAAAUAACUGGCUUCCAUGGCUGACAUUCACCGCUGUCUCAUAUCCACGUACAUGUCCGUAGCAAGCAAACAUAAACAAAAGCAGUCUCAGAGAAGCGACCAACAAUUUUGAGUCAUUGUGUGGUUAUGAUAGGUUAUACAGUGGUCCCUCAUUUAUUGCAGUUACGAAUGAGUGAACUUCCAUGAAGUAGGAAUCAAUAUUAAUAAAUUGAAUAUUUUCCUACUUAUGGCAUAUAGAAAACCUGUUUACGAUCUUUAAAUACAGUUUUUAACAUUAUUAGAGCCCUCAAGACAUGAAAUAACACCCAUAU